ACCCUCUACUUGGCAGA
Molecule: transfer RNA, 17 nt
Filed under: Sicarius ornatus
Lineage: Eukaryota; Metazoa; Arthropoda; Arachnida; Araneae; Sicariidae
Description: partial tRNA-Leu
Source: RNAcentral